RNAcentral lists this transfer RNA (70 nucleotides) under Dipodomys ordii (Ord's kangaroo rat). It matches the Rfam family "tRNA". From Rfam's summary of the family: Transfer RNA (tRNA) molecules are approximately 80 nucleotides in length. Their secondary structure includes four short double-helical elements and three loops (D, anti-codon, and T loops). Further hydrogen bonds mediate the characteristic L-shaped molecular structure. tRNAs have two regions of fundamental functional importance: the anti-codon, which is responsible for specific mRNA codon recognition, and the 3' end, to which the tRNAs corresponding amino acid is attached (by aminoacyl-tRNA synthetases). tRNAs cope with the degeneracy of the genetic code in two manners: having more than one tRNA (with a specific anti-codon) for a particular amino acid; and 'wobble' base-pairing, i.e. permitting non-standard base-pairing at the 3rd anti-codon position. The record is from Rfam by way of RNAcentral. Lineage: Eukaryota; Metazoa; Chordata; Mammalia; Rodentia; Heteromyidae.
GGGAAAGUAGCUCAGUAGUAGAGUGCUUGCCUUGCAUGCAUGAGGCCCUGGGUUCGAUUCCUCAGCACCA